Molecule: long non-coding RNA, 239 nt
Filed under: Ananas comosus (pineapple)
Lineage: Eukaryota; Viridiplantae; Streptophyta; Magnoliopsida; Poales; Bromeliaceae
Description: long non-coding RNA (ACOM_LNC002863)
Source: RNAcentral
UUUUCUUUGAAUCUUUUAAUGCCAAACAGAUUUUACUUAGAACAGCAGAAACUUUUUGAUAUAUAUACUAUUUUUACAUCUAAAAAAGUCGUCAGCACGGAUACCUUUUAUUGAACUUUUCAAACUUAUUGACAGCUACUCGUGUAACAAUCACUGACUCCAUGGUUGUUAAAUUAGAGAAAAAUUAUAUUAAGCAUGUUGAAGCCAAUUUUUUUAAGCCAAAAUUUUUAUAUUAACAC